AGGACGAACGCUGGCGGCGUGCUUAACACAUGCAAGUCGAGCGGAAAGGCCCUUCGGGGUACUCGAGCGGCGAACGGGUGAGUAACACGUGAGCAACCUGCCCUUAGCUCCGGGAUAGCUCCGGGAAACCGGAAUUAAUACCGGAUAUGACCUAGGCCGACAUCGGCUGUGGGUGGAAAGUUUUUCGGCUGGGGAUGGACUCGCGGCCUAUCAGCUUGUUGGUGGGGUAAUGGCCUACCAAGGCGACGACGGGUAGCCGGCCUGAGAGGGCGACCGGCCACACUGGGACUGAGACACGGCCCAGACUCCUACGGGAGGCAGCAGUGGGGAAUCUUGCGCAAUGGGCGAAAGCCUGACGCAGCGACGCCGCGUGGGGGAUGAAGGCCUUCGGGUUGUAAACCCCUUUCAGCAGGGACGAAGCGAAAGUGACGGUACCUGCAGAAGAGCGCCGGCUAACUACGUGCCAGCAGCCGC
RNAcentral lists this ribosomal RNA (474 nucleotides) under uncultured bacterium. RNAcentral's name for it is "SSU rRNA". It matches the Rfam family "Bacterial small subunit ribosomal RNA", at positions 26 to 518 of the family's 1533-position model. The record is from RNAcentral.